GGUUAAGCGACUAAGCGUACACGGUGGAUGCCCUGGCAGUCAGAGGCGAUGAAGGACGUGCUAAUCUGCGAUAAGCGUCGGUAAGGUGAUAUGAACCGUUAUAACCGGCGAUUUCCGAAUGGGGAAACCCAGUGUGUUUCGACACACUAUCAUUAACUGAAUCCAUAGGUUAAUGAGGCGAACCGGGGGAACUGAAACAUCUAAGUACCCCGAGGAAAAGAAAUCAACCGAGAUUCCCCCAGUAGCGGCGAGCGAACGGGGAGCAGCCCAGAGCCUGAAUCAGUGUGUGUGUUAGUGGAAGCGUCUGGAAAGGCGCGCGAUACAGGGUGACAGCCCCGUACACAAAAAUGCACAUGCUGUGAGCUCGAUGAGUAGGGCGGGACACGUGGUAUCCUGUCU
This 399-nucleotide ribosomal RNA is filed under the name Escherichia coli. RNAcentral describes it as "partial 23S ribosomal RNA". It matches the Rfam family "Bacterial large subunit ribosomal RNA", at positions 1 to 439 of the family's 2925-position model. The record is from RNAcentral. Lineage: Bacteria; Pseudomonadati; Pseudomonadota; Gammaproteobacteria; Enterobacterales; Enterobacteriaceae.